GACGAACGCUGGCGGCGUGCUUAACACAUGCAAGUCGAACGGAAAGGCCCUGCUUUUGUGGGGUGCUCGAGUGGCGAACGGGUGAGUAACACGUGAGUAACCUGCCCUUGACUUUGGGAUAACUUCAGGCAACUGGGGCUAAUACCGGAUAGGAGCUCCUGCUGCAUGGUGGGGGUUGGAAAGUUUCGGCGGUUGGGGAUGGACUCGCGGCUUAUCAGCUUGUUGGUGGGGGAGUGGCUUACCAAGCCUUUGACGGGUAGCCGGCCUGAGAGGGUGACCGGCCACAAUGGGACUGAGAUACGGCCCAGACUCCUACGGGAGGCAGCAGUGGGGAAUAUUGCACAAUGGGCGGAAGCCUGAGGCAGCAACGCCGCGUGCGGGAUGACGGCCUUCGGGUUGUAAACCGCUUUCGCCUGUGACGAAGCGUGAGUGACGGUAAUGGGUAAAGAAGCACCGGCUAACUACGUG
RNAcentral lists this ribosomal RNA (468 nucleotides) under uncultured bacterium. RNAcentral's name for it is "partial 16S ribosomal RNA". It matches the Rfam family "Bacterial small subunit ribosomal RNA", at positions 28 to 507 of the family's 1533-position model. The record is from RNAcentral.